RNAcentral lists this long non-coding RNA (5601 nucleotides) under Capsicum annuum. RNAcentral describes it as "long non-coding RNA (CANN_LNC018310)". The record is from RNAcentral. Lineage: Eukaryota; Viridiplantae; Streptophyta; Magnoliopsida; Solanales; Solanaceae.
UGAAAAGUGCUCGGAUCUAAAUGAUCAUCAUUAGUAUUGGAGUUAAUUAAUGUUUUCUUUUAUGGAUUAGGUGCGGUUGUUGAAGUGACUUGCAAGGCUGGUGACAAGAAAAUUGUGAGUUAUGGUACCACUAAGAUCAAUGGAAAAUUUAGCGUCACAGUAGAAGGAUUUGAAUAUCGCAAAUAUGGAGCAAAGGCUUGCAAGGCUAAACUCCACAAUGCUCCAAAGGACUCAAAGUGCAACAUUCCUACAAACCUUCAUUGGGGAAUAAAGGGUGCUAACCUCAAAGUGAAAUCAAAGAAUAGUUAUGAAGUUGUACUUUAUGCAAAACCAUUUGCUUAUGGAUCUAAAACACCUUAUGCAGAAUGCCAAAAGCCCAAGCCUACACCUGCUCCAUACUAUUAUAAAUCUCCUCCACCUCCAUCACCGACUUAUGUGUACAAGUCACCACCUCCUCCAUCACCAAAGUAUGUGUAUAAUUCACCACCUCCCCCAACCCCGACAUAUGUUUAUAAGUCUCCACCACCACCUGCCUACUAUUACAAAUCACCACCACCACCAACUAAGUCUCCACCUCCACCAUCACCAAAACCUGCACCAGUAUACUAUUAUAAAUCACCACCACCCCCAUCACCGUCACCACCCCCACCUUACUACUACAAGUCCCCGCCACCACCAUCACCGAAACCUGCACCUGUUUACUAUUUUAAAUCACCACCACCCCCAUCACCGUCACCACCCCCACCUUACUACUACAAGUCCCCGCCACCACCAUCACCGAAACCUGCACCUGUUUACUAUUUUAAAUCACCACCACCCCCAUCACCGUCACCACCCCCACCUUACUACUACAGGUCCCCACCACCACUAUCACCAUCUCCUCCACCUCCAUACUACUACAAGUCCCCUCCUCCUCCAUCGCCAUCUCCCCCUCCACCAUACUAUUACAAGUCACCACCGCCACCAUCCCCAUCACCUCCACCACCCUACUAUUACAAGUCUCCUUCUCCUCCAUCGCCUUCUCCCCUUCCCCCAUACUACUACAAGUCCCCUCCUCCACCAUCCCCAUCACCACCUCCACCCUACUACUACAAGUCUCCUCCUCCUCCAUCGCCUUCUCCCCUUCCCCCAUACUACUACAAGUCCCCUCCUCCACCAUCCCCAUCACCACCUCCACCCUACUACUAUAAGUCGCCUCCUCCACCAUCACCUUCUCCACCACCUCCCUACUACUACCACUCUCCACCUCCACCAGUAAAGUCUCCUCCUCCUCCUUAUUACUACAGCUCACCACCACCACCAGUGAAAUCACCUCCUCCACCCGUAUAUAUUUAUGCUUCCCCACCUCCUCCAGUCCACUACUAAGAGUUUCCAGCAGUUCAGCCAUUCUCCGCGCUCAAUCAAGUGAGUAGUUGUUUAAAUUAGUAAAAAAAAUUUCAUAUGAGAUCAACUUUUUUUCAUUACAGCUCUAAUCUUCUAUUUGAUUGUUUCUUUUCAGAUUUUAGUUGGAAACACAAAUUAAAUGAUGGCUUCUUGAGGAAAAGAUUCAAACAUCAAUGGAACAAAGCAAUUAACUUAUGGAAUAAGACAUUCAAUUUUUCAAUUGAAGGAUUGAUUUUUAGUUACAUGGACCAGUUUGGUUCUACUUCUCUUUUAGCCUUCUUGCACAUUGUUCUCUUAGUGCGUUCACACAUGAACGUAUCUAAGCUUUGAUGCUUUUUAGAGUUCAUUUCUUCGUAAUUUAUUGUUUUAUAUUGAGGACCACUGUCCUCAUUUUAUUCAUUCCUAUUAAUUAUUGUAUGUUGUUCUUUUGUAAUACCUUCAUGUACUUUGUGCACAAAUCAAUAAAAAGAUCAAUUUCAUUACAUUCACUUUCUUUUCUUUCUUCUGCAUCUUUCCCCUCUUCACAAAUGUUACAAACAAAUUAAAUUAAUCUUCUCCAAAUAUAUCUAAGCAAAUUGGAGAUGAAAAUACCUACAAUUAUUUUAAGAUAUUUAAUAGUUUAAUGUAGAAGUAGUUCAUGACAUAACUAUAAGUAAAACACCUAAAAAACACCUCUGUGUUACCACAAUGAACUAGUUACUUCUUACCAAAAUGGAAGAAAAGCCAUUUUCCUUUUUCUUGUUUUAGUGUGGCAACAGAAAUUUUAACUGUUGCCUCCACAUGCAGUUGAUCUCAUCAUUGAGCAUUCACACGAAUUUCUAAAGAUUAUUAUAAUGAAGAGAUUAAGAAGGCUAUAAUAUGAUGCUUUGAAUAGUAACCAAAAAUGAAUGAAAAUAUCAAAAUACUUUUGAAUAACUUAUUUCAUGAACUGAUGCUUCUGAAAUAAAUAAUAAAACAUUUCAGAAUAAAGAAAAUUUGUCAAACUUAUUUUUCAAUAACAUAAAUACUCUUGGUAUGUUGUUUACACUGGCCUCCCAUACCACUUGUCAGAUUACACUUAGUAUGUUGUUCUUGUUGUUGUAAACUCGGAUUUGGUGAAACAAUUCAAUGUCAAAAAAAAAAAAACAUCAUUUCAGUUGGCAACAUAUAAUUUAAAGCAAUCAAUAUACAUAUUUGUAAUUUAUAAACCAUGUGUCCAUCAGACCAUCUCAGUAAAAAAGGUUUUUUUAAGUUAUCAAGGUUAUUGCGACCAACUAGUGAUCCAAAAGAAAAUAAAUCAUCUAUUCGCUAACAAAUUGAAGAUUUUCACCAUGCUUGAGAUCAGUUGGUACAAGAGUAUCACACUUAGGUUUCGAAUAUGUUGAGCAUUUCACAUAGCGCAUUUGGUAAUAGUUGGUACAAGAUUCAGGCAAUGCCACACCUUAGCAUUUACCAGUAAUAAACUCUAUCAAUGCCAGCGUUGUUUUAUACCAGCUAGCUUGAGUCCGCGUCAGAGAAUAUACAUAUCCUGUCUCCUCUACAGAUCAGCAGGAAAGUAAAACAGGGGAAAAGAUAUUAAUUAAUUUGGCUAAAUAAGUCAAAGUUGCUGCAAUUAUUUGUAAAUGCAGGACACCACAUGAUUUAAUAUCAUAGAAUAUAUGCACUAGCUUUUUUCUAGAAAUUUUCAAACUUAUAAGUUUUUAAAGGUGAUAUAGAGAUAUGCUUAUCAGCCCACACCCUGGCAAUUGAAAACAAAAUGGCAAGAGAGUGGAAGUAUUAAAGAAUAGCACUUUCUUUCCUUUAAGCCAUUACAUGGCAUGUGUUUUUGUGUGCUUCAUAUGGUGUGUUCCCAUAUACAGCAAGUAACAAACUACUUAUUGAAAAGAAAAUGUAGAAAUAUACAAAGUGAUACAGAGAUGGACUUUAAUAAAUAAGAUGACAACUUGUAGAUCCAGCUGGUAAGAACUAUUAAUAUUCUUUUUGCACUUUGAUUAUCAAUUAGAGCAAUUGAAUUGGUCCUUUAGACAGCUCUUUACUAACAACUACUUCUAAAGGUGUGUUACUAUAAAUGCAUAGGCCAAUGAAUCCCCAAAGUGCAUCAGUUCUCAACAGUAAAAACUAAAAGUUGUCUCUUUUACUCUUCAGUUAACUAGCCACAUUUGGAGGCUAGGUGGUAUAAUUAUCCGGCGAAAUGAGAAUUCAAGGUGGCGGCCCUGCCAAGGGUCGUCAAUAUUUGUCACAAAUUUUAGUGGCAUUGGCCAUUUUGGCUGUUGCUAAUAUAGUAUCGGCAGAUCCUUAUGUAUACUCUUCGCCUCCACCUCCACCGUAUGUGUACAAGUCACCACCACCUCCUUCUCCUUCUCCACCACCACCUUAUGUGUACAAAUCUCCACCUCCUCCAUCACCUUCUCCCCCGCCUCCAUAUGUUUAUAAGUCACCUCCUCCUCCUUCUCCACCUCCACCUCCACCAUAUGUGUAUAAGUCUCCACCGCCUCCAUCGCCAUCUCCACCUCCACCAUAUUACUACAAGUCCCCUCCUCCACCAUCACCUUCACCACCACCACCAUAUUACUACAAGUCUCCACCUCCACCUUCACCAUCACCUCCACCACCAUAUUAUUACAAAUCUCCACCACCGCCCUCACCAUCACCACCACCACCAUACUAUUAUAAGUCUCCACCGACACCUUCUCCUUCACCUCCUCCACCAUACUCCUAUAAAUCUCCACCACCUCCUUCACCAUCUCCUCCGCCACCUUAUUACUACAAGUCUCCACCUCCUCCAUCUCCAUCACCACCACCACCAUAUUAUUACAAGUCUCCUCCUCCACCAUCCCCAUCACUACCCCCACCUUACUUCUACAAGUCUCCACCUCCACCGGCUAAGUCACCUCCUCCCCCAUACUACUACAGUUCUCCACCACCAGCAGUGAAGUCUCCCCCUCCACCAUAUUACUACUACUCACCACCACCACCAAAGAAAUCACCUCCCCCACCAUAUCACUAUACUUCUCCACCACCACCUGUUAAGUCACCGCCUCCUCCAUACUAUUACAGCUCCCCACCACCACCAAAGAAAUCACCUCCUACACCAUAUCACUACAGUUCCCCACCACCACCAGUGAAGUCCCCUCCAACUCCAUACUACUACAAAUCUCCACCACCACCACAACCAAAGAAGUCUUCUCCCCCGCCAUACUACUAUACUUCACCACCACCACCAACUCAUUACUAUCCUCCACAUCAUCAAUUCGUGGUCAAAGUUGUCGGAAAAGUAUAUUGUUUUAGAUGUUAUAAUUGGAAGCACCCAGAGAUGUCUCACGGAAAGAAACACCUGAAAGGUACCAGUCUUAUAAUUUAUACUACACUCUAUUCUUUAAAAUAUAUCAUUAAAUAUUUAUUUAACUAUAUAUUUUCUUUUUGGUUUCUUUUCUCAUUAUGCUCUUAUCAGUAUUCAAAUGUGUAUUUUUCUUUGGAUCUUUGAUCCAUCUCUUUUUUCAAAAUAUGAAAUUAGAAUUAAAAUUUUAAAACGUCAAGAAAUGAUAUAAGGGAACUAUAGAUAAAAUACAUUGAAAAUGGAAGUACUUACUUCUUGCUUGGAAAUGAAGAACUGAUUUUGAGUGUGAUCUAUUCUCACAUUGGCCGACAUAAGUCUGUAUUGACACACAAGUUUCCUUAUUAGCAUACAAUAUAUCAUAAUAAAGCUAGAAAAUGAAUUUUUAUCAUGUGAUGAAAAGGUUUGUUUCAUUUUAUGUUCUAGGGGAAAAAAUUCAGAUACAAAUGAUCAUCUAUUAACAACCCAACUGUUUUAGUGUUAAUUAAUGGUUAUUGUUACAUGGAUUAGAUGCUGUUGUUGAAGUAACUUGCAAGGCUGGUGACAAGAAAAUUGUGAGUUAUGGUACCACAAAGAUCAAUGGCAAAUUUAGCAUCACGGUUGAAGGAUUUGAAUAUCGCAAAUAUGGAGCAAAGGCUUGCAAGGCUAAACUCCACAAUACUCCAAAGGAUUCAAAGUGUAGCAUUCCUACAAACCUUCAUUGGGGAACUAAGGGUGCUAACCUCAAAGUGAAAUCAAAGAAUAGUAAUGAAGUUGUACUUUAUGCAAAACCAUUUGCUUAUGGAUCUAAGGCACCUUAUGCAGAAUGCAAAAAGCCCAAGGCUACACCUGCUCCAUACUAUUAUAAAUCUCCUCCACCUCCAACACCGAAUUAUGUUUAUAAAUCACCACCUCCUCCAUCGCCG